RNAcentral lists this long non-coding RNA (5677 nucleotides) under Callithrix jacchus (white-tufted-ear marmoset). Its description in RNAcentral is "lncRNA (ENSCJAG00000051746.2)". Lineage: Eukaryota; Metazoa; Chordata; Mammalia; Primates; Cebidae. The record is from RNAcentral.
AUAUUUUCCUCUCUUUCCUUCUUCUCUCUCUCUCUCUGUUUACAUAGUUGUAGUUAUACUGUAUACAUUACUUUGUACUCUACUUUAUUUCACUUAACAUGACAACAUAAGCAUUUACCCACAUCAUUAAAACUCCCUGGUACCGAGAGCCCAGGUCUAUUUUUAUAGAGAAGCUUAAGUGAUUCUCAGUGGGCUCUGCUACCCAGCCUUAAUCACACAAAGACAAGUUAUCAGGUUCUCUCCAAAGUCCUGGCCUGCCGCUUGCCUACUGAGCAGGAAGCAGAACUAAGGCUGUCAUGGAGAGGAAGGACAGGCCAAAUACUGUUUGGCUGCCUGCUCCCUCCCACGAGCCAGCCUGCAGCCUGCUAAGUAAGGGGCCCUGCUGAUCCAGAAUUCUUUCUUGCAGAAACACAUACUGGCUUUGAACCAAGGAGGCAGGCUCACUGCUGCAGCAGCCCCAGGGGAAAAAUCCAGACACAGAAUAAAAAAGUAAACUAUGCCAGUGACUGUAUGGCAGUAUAGCAGGAUUGCUCAUCUUAAUUUCCAGAAAAGCGUCAUCCUAACUCACAGGCAAGACAAAGGCUGCCCAGCAGCCUUUACCCCUACUUUCCACACGGUGAGUGCACUGGAGGUUUCAAAAAGCCUGCGGACUAAGACCAGGAGAACAGCAGACACAGCCCACUGGGAAGCCCAUGAUGUUGACCCCAGAGUGGACUUGUGGACUCGUCAACUCGGGCCAGGCUCCUGGGCCUCACUCCCAUCACGGAGGCUGAAGUGGAAUAGUACAAUCAUGGCUCACAGCAACCUCAUCCUCCUGGGCUCAGGUGAUUCUCCUACCUCAGUCUCCUGGGUAGCUGAGACUACAGGCUCCCACCACCACAACUGGCUAAUUUUUUGUAUUUUUAGUAGAGGUAGGGUUUUGUCAUGUUGCCCAAGCUGGCCUUAAACUCUUAAGCUCAAGAGAUCCACUAGCCUCAGCCUCCCAAAGCAUUGGGAUUACAGGCAUGAGCCACUGCACCUGGCUACACCUGACUCUUUUAAUAGUACUGACCUCAGUAGAUGGGUGUUGGGGUUUUUAAUUGACAUUAACACGCUCAGGUGGUCAUAGCCUGAAGCCCCAAAAUGAGUGUGAUUAUCUCAUUCUUCAUAAACCAGACAGAUGUUGACUUCCAGCAUCCUGAAGUAUACCAGGCCUUAUGGAGGGAUAGGAGAUUUGAGGAUAUUAGGUCAAGGUCAGCUCCCCAAACACCUUCUCUAAUCGCUCAAUAGUGAACUGAUGUCUUGUAGUAUCUUGUAGCUUAAAAGGAGGGGCUGUCCUCUUCCUUCUCUAGUUGUGUCAUGUUUAUCUUUAAACUGAACAGUUUUCCACUGAAAAUAUGAUUUACAAGUAAGGAAAGUUAACAGGGCAGUUUCUUUGCAUAUCAGCUUUAUUUAGAAUUUACAUUAUGUUUCCAUUUUUCUAUCAGUUGAUCCAGGCUCUGAAUGUUAAGAAACAGGAUAUGUGGCCCAACAAGAGCCCUUGUCCAGGAUCAUUAGUCAUUUAUGUAAAUAAAUGACUUCCCAGAGAAGGAGCAGAUGCAAACUCAUGCUGAGCUUGAGGGGCACUGGGCAGUGGCUGAGUGUAGCUCCAUAGCCUGUAUCUUGAGGGUAUGUAGCAGGACACCCUUUAGGACUGACACAGCUAGCCCAUGCAUUACCACUGGACAGCCAUUCAACUUUGAGCAUGGCACCAGACCUCACUCAGCCUCAGCAUGUUGCAAUCCCUCCCCAUGUGACAGUGGAUGGUGGUAAAGCUGCUGCUGCCCAGAAACUUCCCUCCCUUAAAGCGUUUCUGACCUAUUUGCAAAUUGACACUCCUCUCUGAGGCCUGUUUUACAGAAUGAGGGAAAUCUGCUGCCCCUAUAUAUUGUCUAAAUUCCUGCUUUCUGAUUCUUAUAACCUUCUUUUUCACACAUGUGGGGGAAAUUAAUAUCUGUACCAAAUAUUAUUCUUUUUUGAGAAAAGAUUCUCACUCUGUUCCAGGCUGGAGUGCAGUCGCGUGAUCUCUGCUCACUACAACAUCUGCCUCCCAAGUUCAAGCAAUUCUCCUGCCUCAGCCUCUCGAGUAGCUGGGAUUACAGGAAUGCACCACCAUGUCUAACUAAUUUUUGUAUUUUUAGAAGAGACGGGGUUUCUCGAUGUUGGCCAGGCUAGUCUUGAACUCCUGACUUCAGGUGAUCCACCCGCCUUGGAAUCUCAAAGUGCUGAGAUUAUAGGCAUGAGCCACCAUGCCCAGACCCCAAUAUUAUUAUUUCAAUGGCUUAUUUUACCCAUUUUUAUGGUGCUUUUUGUGUCCUAAUUAGGAAAUAUUUGCCUUGGCCAAAAUCAUAAAGUUGCCCUCAUAUAUUUUCUUCUAAAAUUUAAAUUGUUUUAUCUUUCUGAUUUAAGUUUGCCCUGUAUCUGGAAUUAAUUUUUAGCAAUGUAAAUUUUUUAGCAUCAUAAAUUUUUUAGCAUCACAUAUAAUUUAAAUAUUACUUUGGUAUUAUUUGCCAUAAUUUUUAUCUUUUUUGUUUUUAAAUAAGAAAUCAGGAAUUCAGAAAGUGCCAAUUUUCUGGGUGGGAAAUGUUUAUUCCCUAAAAUUAUAAUAUUGUUCCAUAUUAGAAUAGUCAAAAUGUCAGAAAGGAAUUUUUCUAUUUCAUGAGACUCAAUAAAAAUCAAUUUGCCAAAUUAAUUACAUACAUAGAAAGAGAAUGCUUGCGUGAAAUGAAUGAAUCAUAGUGACUACUUAAGACAUUGAGGCUGCUUUAAAGAAGGAUUUAUUCUCCCAUUCAACAACAUUGUAUUGGUAUUUAUAUUAUAAAUAUAUAUUCACAAUAAAUAUACAUUUAUUGAAAAUAUCUACAUCUCAUAUAGGACAGUCAUACUUGUUUGUUAUAUUUCUUUGUACAUGUUUAUAUAUUCAUUAAAAUAUAUUCAAAACAUUGAUAUCGAUGUGUCUAUGAAGAUAUGUAAUUUGCUUGGGGGAAACUGGGGAGAUUCCAAAAAUCACUUAGCAUAACACAGUGACUUUUGAGGACAAAUUUGAUGAUGCCAUUGGUAUACAGUGUCAAACUUUAUUCCUUGCCUCUGUGCUUUGUCAUUAUUUCAAAGCACUGUCUUUAGGUCACAGUGUGACUCCACGUGCACCAGAAAAGAUGUCUGGUCUUAGUCUAGUAUGAAAGAUGUGGCAUAUGUGGUGCAGCCGUCACCAGCAUCCUGAGUCAGAACCAGAUCAUCAGAAACUGAGUUAGAUACAUGCAGCAAAGUACAAUUUCUCCCACUGGGAAUUGACUUCAGAUACCAGUUUUUCAGGUGGCCAAGCUACUAAGCAGGAAAGCAGUUUAUUUAUCCUUCUUUUGAACGUGAAGAUGAAUGAAAUCAUGAAGUGACAUGGGAGCCUUAAGUCAAAAACAAAGUUAUUGGCUGUCCUAUUUAUAGGGCCACAAAUCACUUUUUAUUCCAAGCCAUAAAUGCUGUCAUCAUUGGUGAUCCUGGUGUGUUUACAGUGAAGCAAAAAUCAUGCUGCCUGAAGGAGAGCGUUAGGCAGGGGGAAAUCAGGGUUUCCAUGUUAUAAAGAAUGGCAGAGCUAGGAAGAAUGUAAGCACUAUUUCCUGCUGAAUUUGAACUCCAGCCUGCAGUUACUGAGACAGAUAGAGCUGUCCGGUUAUUCUGAAAACUUUUAAAGUCUGUCUUUAUUAUCAUCCAAUUAAAAGACUAAAUUUCACAUCCACGUAGUCCGUGAGCAUCUGAGAGGACCCAUAUUUUCUUCAAACUCACUUUAACCAAAGCUCCUGGGGAAUACUGCCCACACAUUGGUCUUAAACAUUGUGUCUGGAACUGGAAAACCUUCUUCAAAGCCAGGAUUGCUAGCCAACUGUAUCAAGCACAGAGGAAUGUCACCAUGGGGCAUGCAGACUGUGUCACCCAGGAAAGAAUCACGCCCACAUAAGGGCUACAAGAUGCAGUUUGGCUCGACUGUUCAUGCCAACAUUGAAAACAUCUAUGAAACACCCAGCUUUUGUGUAAUUAUAAUGCAUUCUACUCCUCUCUACCUGAUAAUCAUUUGCCUGUAUGGCUCGCUUCUUGUACCUCCAAGUUAGGAAUUAUAAAACUGAGACUUUGGCUCAAGGGAGGAGGCUCACACUCUCGUGCACAGCUAUCCUCUACUGACUGCUUCUAAUUGCCCAUCAUACAUUGCAAAAGAAGAGUUUGUAUAUGCCCUUUUUUAUGUAAUGUUUCAGGUUCUCAGCAUCUGAAGGUCAUUAUUUGCUGAUGUGUAGCAGGUGUGGUCUAAUCUGCAGCCAGCCAAGCCAGCAGGGUCAACCCCUAAAAGGACAGAGAAACUCUGAGAGCAGCCUCCCCUUGUUCUUAACUGGUUUCUUAAUGAAACCAAAUAAAAGAUGAAAUAAAAGCUGUUAAAUCCACCUGCUCUUUAUGCUCCUGUCAGUGGAAAGAUCUCAUCCUUGCAAAACUUUAGUAUCCUCCAGGACCCUGCUGGUCAUCAAGGACAAAUAUUAGCAUCCCUUUCUCUUCCUUGAUGGGACCCUUCCAAGCAAAAAGAGUCCUAAUUAAAAUUCUAGAAAUAUUAUCAUUUGAAAAACUACUUUAUCAUUAGUGAAUUUCUCAUGCAAGUUCCUUUCUGGCUAGCUUGAUCAAAAAAAAAAAAAAGCUGUUAAUUUUUAAUGCGAUUCCAUGAACUGUGGCUCCUUGUUCAAAACAUAUAGCAAAGAAAAUGGAAACUGUCAUAAUGACUGCUAUUGUGGCCAAAACUCUCCCAACUCUGGUAGAAAAUCACAUUAUUCCAAUUCUUUGGUGGAUGAGAGAGGCAACAAUACAUUGGAAAUGAGAGAAUGGAAGAGUCGAAUGCUGUGUUUCCUUCUAACUAGGAUUCCAGUUAUCACCCACAUAGCUUCAGCAAUGCAAAGUGGCAUAAAUGCAAGUCACCACACAGUGCCUGAGCAGUGAAUGCAAAUACAGUACUUGGUUCCUGACCACAGUGUGUGAAAGCAAAUAAAAGAGAGAGGGUCACAUUUCAUGUUCAUUUUGCUUCUUCAUGACCAGGCUACAUGGAGGCUGAGCAGCCGCUGGCUGCCUUGUUCAUCUCUUUGGCCCUUUUCUAACUCACAGCCUAUUUCAACAUGGAAAAUGAAGGAAGAAACAUCAGCAGAUCAUUUUCCAAAUGUCGAUCAUCUGCUUUAAUUGUGGUUGUGCUGAUUUUAUUGCUCUUGGCAAAAUCUUGUUCUCCCCGCAGUGCAGCCAAAAUACUAGGUUGUAUCAAUUGCCAUUGAAAACACAACCCAUUACACGUCAGACAAAGGAAAUAAAAAUUGCUGACACUCUGUUUUGCAAGGACAAAUUAAUUUGCCCCAGAAUGGCAUGUUUGCCACUGAUCUCAUUAAAAGUACUGUGAGAUUAUCAGGAAAAAUUAAUACAAGCUGUUGGUUAUCAGCUACAUCAUUUCAGCUCACAAAGGCAAGUCCUAGUUGUCAGUUUGCUGCUGGGGGCAAGGACAGGCAUUUACAAAGAAAGUCACAUUCAAUUAGAAACUAUGGCUGGGGCUGGCAUUUGCAGUUGCUCUGCACCGGAUCAGCUUGAAGAACAAUCACACUGCUUUUGGUUUGAACUUGAAAGCAAGGGCUUUUAUGGCAGCAAGGGGAAU